CGUGUGAUUUCAAACCUCGCCUUAAAAAGUCUGCCUUUACUUGUAUAAAAGUGCCGUGUAUGAACAUACAGUGGUGAUACAUAGGCAGAUUAAGCUCAGUGAAACAUAUUUGUGGUAAGGUAUUCUUAAGCUACCUUUAAGACCACAUCAACACUUGCAGCAGAAAGAUUUCUUAGAGCCCCGUCAUCAUGAAUCUAAUGUCAACUCUAAUCAUCAUCUUCAUUGUGAACUGCGUGACUUCGGGUUUAUCAAUCAGCGAUAAACAAUCUAAACGAGUGACGUGCACCAAAGGAGGGAAGGUGUACCAGGUAGGUGAUGCCGUGCCAUCAGGAGACUGCAACACCUGCAGAUGUGCAAGCCCCGGGAUUGUUAUGUGCACCUUAAUGGCGUGCCUGAGACUGGUGGUGGAGGAGCCGACUUGUGAGAACAACG
Long non-coding RNA from Physella acuta, 432 nucleotides. RefSeq lists it as uncharacterized. The record is from RefSeq and is a predicted model, not a curated record. NCBI's taxonomy places the organism in Eukaryota, Metazoa, Mollusca, Gastropoda, Physidae.